Molecule: ribosomal RNA, 460 nt
Filed under: uncultured bacterium
Lineage: Bacteria
Description: partial 16S ribosomal RNA
Rfam family: Bacterial small subunit ribosomal RNA
Source: RNAcentral
CCUACGGGAGGCAGCAGUGAGGAAUAUUGGUCAAUGGACGAGAGUCUGAACCAGCCAAGUAGCGUGAAGGAUGACUGCCCUAUGGGUUGUAAACUUCUUUUAUAAGGGGAUAAACUGAGGCACGUGUGCCUUUUUGCAUGUACUGUAUGAAUAAGGAUCGGCUAACUCCGUGCCAGCUGCCGCGGUAAUACGGAGGGUCCGGGCGUUAUCCGGAUUUAUUGGGUUUAAAGGGAGCGUAGAUGGGUUGUUAAGUCAGUUGUGAAAGGUUGCGGCUCAACCGUAAAAUUGCAACUGAUACUGGUAGUCUUGAGUGCAGCUGAGGUAAGCGGAAUUCGUGGUGUAGCGGUGAAAUGCUUAGAUAUCACGAAGAACCCCGAUUGCGAAGGCAGCUUACUAAAGUGUGACUGACAUUGAGGCUCGAAAGUGCGGGUAUCAAACAGGAUUAGAUACCCCGGUAGUC